CAAACGGUCCUUUACAGGACCACCACAUUAUUCCCCAAGAGUUGUG
This is a non-coding RNA of Aedes albopictus (Asian tiger mosquito), 46 nucleotides long. The record is from Rfam. NCBI's taxonomy places the organism in Eukaryota, Metazoa, Arthropoda, Insecta, Diptera, Culicidae.